UAAGGGCACAGGGCGGAUGCCUUGGCACUAAGAGCCGAUGAAAGACGUGAUAAGCUGCGAUAAGCUUCGGGGAGGAGCAAAUAUCCCGUGAUCCGGAGAUGUCUGAAUGGGGAAACCCACAUGAGCAAACCUCAUGUAUCCUACAGCCAAUACAUAACUGUAGGAAGGGAACCCGGGGAACUGAAACAUCUAAGUACCCGGAGGAAAAGAAAGAAAACUCGAUUCCGUAAGUAGCGGCGAGCGAACGCGGAGGAGCCUAAACCGGAAUGCGUGCAUUCCGGGGUUACGGACUGCAUUUAAGAUUCUCUGAAGCUAACAGAACGGUUUUGGGAAAGCCGGCCGGAGAGGGUGAAAGCCCCGUACGUGAAAGCUGAUGAGACUGAGCAGGAUCCAGAGUACCACGAGACACGUGGAACCUUGUGGGAAAUCAGGGGGACCACCCCCUAAGGCUAAAUACUACUUAGUGACCGAUAGCGCAUAGUACUGUGAAGGAAAGGUGAAAAGGACCCCGGGAGGGGAGUGAAAGAGAACCUGAAACCCUGUGUCUACAAGCUGUGGAAGUGCUUUAUAUGCACGACCGCGUACUUUUUGUAGAACGGUCCGGCGAGUUACGCUUACUGGCAAGGUUAAGCACUUCAGGUGUGGAGCCGUAGGGAAACCAAGUCUUAAGAGGGCCUUAAGUCAGUAGGAGUAGACCCGAAACCGGGUGAUCUAUCCAUGUCCAGGUUGAAGCUGCCGUAAGAGGUAGUGGAGGACCGAACCCACAUCCGUUGAAAAGGGUGGGGAUGAGGUGUGGAUAGGGGAGAAAUUCCAAUCGAACCCGGAGAUAGCUGGUUCUCCUCGAAAUAGCUUUAGGGCUAGCCUCGAUACAGAUUUGCGGAGGUAGAGCACUGAAUUUCCUAGGGGGCGUCAAAGCCUACCGAAGAAUAUCAAACUCCGAAUGCCGCGUAAUCGAUUAUCGGGAGUCAGACUGCACGAGAUAAGUUGGGCGGUCAAAAGGGAAAGAGCCCAGACCUUCAGUUAAGGUCCCAAAGUGCGCGUUAAGUGGAAAAGGAUGUGGGAUUUCGAAGACAACCAGGAUGUUGGCUCAGAAGCAGCCAUCCAUUCAAAGAGUGCGUAAUAGCUCACUGGUCGAGAGGUCCUGCGCCGAAAAUGUCCGGGGCUGAAACGCGCCACCGAAACUAAGGAACCGAAAGGUUGGUAGAGGAGCAUUGCAUGCGGGAAGAAGCAGUACCGUAAGGAGCUGUGGACUGCAUGGAAGAGAGAAUGCCGGAAUGAGUAGCGAGAAUAAGGUGAGAAUCCUUAUGGCCGAAUAUCCAAGGUUUCCAGAGUAAAGCUGAUCUGCUCUGGGUAAGUCGGGGCCUAAGGCGAGGACGAGAGUCGUAGCCGAUGGACAACAGGUGGAGAUUCCUGUACUGCGGUAUGACAGAACUGUGGGGACACGUAAGGAAAGCGGAAGCCGGGAAUGGAAAGCCCGGUGCAAGCGGGGUACCAGCCACUUUGGCAAAUCCGGGUGGCAAUGGGAAGCCGUGAUGCGGAGUGAAAUAAAGUAACGAAGUCCGUGAGCCAUGCGUCAAGAAAAGCCGCUAUCGUUUAUACCGUACCCGUACCGUAAACCGACACAGGUGGAUGAGGAGAGAAUCCUAAGGCCGGCGGAAGAAGCAUUGUCAAGGAACUCGGCAAAAUGGCCCCGUAACUUAGGGAUAAGGGGUGCCUGGGAAACCAGGCCGCAGAGAAUAGGCUCAAGCAACUGUUUAGCAAAAACACAGGUCUAUGCGAAACCGAAAGGUGAGGUAUAUGGGCUGACGCCUGCCCGGUGCUGGAAGGUUAAGAGGAGAGGUUAGCGCAAGCGAAGCUUUGAAUUUAAGCCCCAGUAAACGGCGGCCGUAACUAUAACGGUCCUAAGGUAGCGAAAUUCCUUGUCGGGUAAGUUCCGACCCGCACGAAAGGCGUAAUGAUUUGAGCGCUGUCUCGACAAUGCAUCCGGUGAAAUUGAAGUACCAGUGAAGAUGCUGGUUACCU
This 2022-nucleotide ribosomal RNA is filed under the name human gut metagenome. Its description in RNAcentral is "bacterial LSU rRNA". It matches the Rfam family "Bacterial large subunit ribosomal RNA", at positions 12 to 2071 of the family's 2925-position model. The record is from RNAcentral.